Molecule: long non-coding RNA, 2195 nt
Filed under: Zea mays
Lineage: Eukaryota; Viridiplantae; Streptophyta; Magnoliopsida; Poales; Poaceae
Description: long non-coding RNA (ZMAY_LNC001792)
Source: RNAcentral
CCCCCACUUCUCCCACACCUUGGCCACCGCCCCCCUGCCCAUCUCCUCCUCUCUCAAUUCUUGCAGCCACACCACCAAACCCUAGCCGCCCCCCAAUCUCCUCCUCCCAAGGUGCCAAUCCUUGCCGCUCGGAUCAUCGUCACGUGGUGCGAGUCUUCAAUCGUUUUGGUGGAGGGAAGAAGGGAGGAAGGAAAGGGGGAGAAUCCAAGGUGAUUUUUGUGUUCAUCCCUUGUUCAUUUGCGCUGCAAUUCAAUUGAUUAGAGGUUGCGUUUGCGAUUGGGUAGAGGGGGCUGUCCAGAAUUUUAGGUGGUGGAUGAACAACAGUAGUUGUAGCAGUUUCUGUGUUUUUUUUCGUGAUAAAUUAAGGGAAACCAGUUUGGGGAUCAUGUAGAACUUUAUCUUACCUUUCCAACGAGUAUUUAUGCGCUCAAUUUGGAGUUAUAAAUUGAAAGUUAUCACCGUUUGAAUCCGGGUAUGUGGCUGUAAAAAAACAGAUUUUCAGGGGGAUGAACAGCAGCAGUAUUAGCAGUUUCUGGGGAUUUUUCGGGAGUAAUUAGGGUUAAUCAGUAUAAGAAUCAUGAAGGGCUCUUUCUUAUCUUUCCAACAAGUACUUAUGCGCUUGAUUCGGAAUUAUAUUUUAAAAGUUAUCGCUGUUUGAAUCCGAGUAUGUCGCUGCCCAAAACAGGAAAAAACAGAUUGCAGGGUUUAUUUUGUGGACCGUUUAGGGGUAAUUAGAUGUUAGAAUUUAAUCAUAAAUUGUAUACAAAACUUGUGGGGAAUUUUAUGUAGUUGCCUCUGGAGUUUUUGUUUGACACCACUGCUGUCUUAAUUUUAAAGUUAUGGAAUUGUUAAGCAGCGCCGCUGCAGUUUGGUUGGUGUGGGUAGAUUUGUUACCCGCGGCGGGGUUUGAGAUUGCGCGUAGGUGCGGCGUUGUUUUGAGUUUUUUUUAUGUGAAUUUGGUGCACUAAGUUGGGUGUCAAAAACAGGUGGUGGACUCCCAGAUCGUUCUUAGGGAUUUGCCCAAACUUCCGGUGAAGGCAAGUAAAACUGUGAUGGUUAUUCCGUCUGUCAGAUGAGGAGUCUUAUACUUGAUUGUUGUGCUAUUGUGUUCAUAUUCAUAUUUUCUUUUGAGUACCAUCAUUUGAAAAUGUUCAUGUUUCAUGGAUUUCAUAUGUUGAGUUUGAGGUUUGAUUAUGUUACUCAAGUGGUUAUUAUGUGGAAUGGGUGGAAGUAAAUGUCUAGCACAUUUUUAUUUGGGAAGAACUCAUGAUGUUGUCAUGCAUAAUGCACUCAUCCUCCAUUGCAUUGAAGUUUCGUCGCGAUCUUAUGGUCCGACUGUACCGGUACAUUGAGCAUAAUAUGUUGCCCGAGAAGGGGUAUGGUGCAGCUUCAUAUCCUUAGCGAUAUGGAGGCAGAAGUCAUUAUUGCAUUUGUAGCCAUGUGCAUUCAUGGGAGAGGUGUGGAAUAUAUUAUGUGGAUGUGGAUAACUUAGAUUUGUGCAUGGUGAUUCUACUUGGCGUUGAGUUUUUAGUUACUUGUUUACUUGCUGCAAUUUACUGUUCAAAAGAAAAGAAAGAAGUUCUGAACACGUGGUUGUGUAAGCACAGUUGAUUUACAAUGUCCUAUUUGUUGUUGUUAUGUUUACUUGCUGAGAUGUGUUAUCUCACAUCUUGCAUUGUUUGAUGCAGACACCUAAUUUCUGCUUUGGGAAUAGAGGGAUGUAGCAGCACGGCCACUACACCUUUAAUAAAGGAACCACCAUUUAAUAAUGUUGUUAAUCAGAGUUGGUCAAGUCUAGUGGAUUGCUUUGUUCUUGGUUGAGCGUUUAUUUUUGGGUGAGCUGAGUUUCUUAUCCCAUGUGUUUUACUUCAGUUGGGACAUAAAUGAGCUUUACCACUUUGCAUCUAGUUUCUACUAUGUGAAUUAUAUGUCUUUAUAUCCUGUAUGAACUUCAUGUUUUCCCCUCCUUGUUAUGUUAGUUUCAAAGGAGGUGCUGCCGGAUUUUGCUAUAUUUUCUUUCUUUAUUACGCCUCUUGUGUGGAGUAAGUUAGGAGGGUGGGGUUUUAGGUGAUAUCAAUUGUGUGUGACCAGUGGGGUGUUACAUUUAAGUUCUAUAUAAUGAUUAUCCCCCAAAAGUCCAAGGAUGAAGAAUUAAAUGGUUCCAAGGUCAAGAGGAUUACACAAUCAUUCUGAAA